Long non-coding RNA from Lates calcarifer (barramundi perch), 640 nucleotides. RefSeq lists it as uncharacterized. The record is from RefSeq and is a predicted model, not a curated record. The transcript has 4 exons. Lineage: Eukaryota; Metazoa; Chordata; Actinopteri; Centropomidae.
UUUAGUGUUUAGUUUCACUGUGUGAGUUUUAGUGGUAAAAAGUUUCCAUUUUAUCUUGUAUUAGUUAAUUAAUCACUGUUUCAGGUGUUGUACUUGUGUUUUCCAGGUCGACUUGCUCAGCUGCUGCAGUUUGGACAGAGACACCAACAUCACCUUACAGACCAACAGGUGUCACCACUUCGUCCACAAUCAGACAUUGUCCAUGCUUCAUAGAACUAUUGGCAGAGACUGGGGUCACUGAUUUGACAGCAUUGCUUGCGAUCAGAGAGACGUAGUCCACAAUCACUGAGUAUUUGUAUAAUGAAGAAGUUCUUUGAGACCAGGACAGAGGCCUCCAGAGACAAGUGCCAGAGUUGGUAGUGACGGAGUGAUCCGAUUCGGCGGCAUAAUCUGCGAUCAGAGCGACAUAGUCCUCGAUCUCAGAGACAUUUUCUGCAAUUAGACAGAUAUAGUCCUUGAUCUCAGAGACAUCAAACUCUUGGAGGAGGAGAAGACUGCAUCACCUGAAGAGGUCAACAAAAGUAGUUUGUUAUUAAAGAUGUUCAGAGAUGUAUAAGACUUCAAUAAGCAUAUGUGUUCAUUACUACAUUAAAUUUGGGCUGAGAGAAUAAAACAAAGUCUCUCCAAGUGGUCAAACAUC